CAGUAAAUAGUUUAUUAAAAUAUUAAUUUUGGGGAUUAAAGAUAUAUUUGUUAUUUUACUGA
Molecule: transfer RNA, 62 nt
Filed under: Physopelta slanbuschii
Lineage: Eukaryota; Metazoa; Arthropoda; Insecta; Hemiptera; Largidae
Description: tRNA-Pro
Source: RNAcentral